GGGCGGGCGGCGGGUGGGGAUGCGCUCGGAAGAGGGGGCCGGAGGCCUGAGCACGGCCCUGUCUGCGCGGGGCCCCAGCUGGAGGGAGAAACUGUCAGCCGCGGAGGUCCCGUUCCGCCGCGAGUCGCCGCGGAGGGACACCGCAGUGGCCCCAACCCAGUCCUUCAGUGACAGCGGGGCGGGCAAGCCUCGCGACGACAAGAGGACGGCCCUGAGCAAGGUGGUGCUCCGGCGGCUGCCCCCCGGCCUCACCAAAGAGCAGCUGGAAGAGCAGCUGCGCCCCCUGCCUGCGCACGAUUACUUCGAGGUGGUAGCUGCGGAUCUCAGUCUCUAUCCUCAUCUCUACUCAAGAGCUUACAUUAAUUUUCGGAACCCUGAUGACAUCCUUCUGUUCAGAGACCGCUUUGAUGGGUAUAUCUUCAUCGGCAGUAAAGGCCUGGAGUACCCCGCAGUGGUGGAGUUUGCUCCAUUCCAGAAGAUUGCCAAAAAGAAGCUGAGGAAAAAAGAUGCCAAGACUGGAAGCAUUGAAGAUGACCCAGAAUAUAAACAGUUUCUGGAAACAUACAGUCUGGAGGAAGAAAAAUCCAGUGCUAGUCCUGAGACACUUCUGGGAGAGAUAGAAGUGAAGACAAGAGAACUCCUUGCCAGAAGAACCACACCUCUUUUGGAAUAUAUUAAAAAUAGAAAACUAGAAAAACAGAGAAUUCGAGAAGAAAAGCGUGAAGAGCGGAGGAGGAGGGAGCUGGAGAAGAAGCGUUUGCGGGAGGAAGAGAAGAGGAAAAGGCGAGAGGAGGAGCGGUGUAAGAGGAAAGAGGCGGACAGACAGAAAAGGACCGAGAAGGAAGUGAAGAUUAAGCUUCUUAAAAAGCUGGAAACAGAAGAAGCAACCACAGAGAAACCCAAAGAAAGAGGUGACUCAGUUGGUACUGGAGACGAAAAGCAGGAAUCCCGGCCAGUGGAAAGCCUGCCAGAGACACCUGCAGAGAGGUUUUGACAGAUGCCUAAAUGUCACCAAAAUGAAGAAGAGAGACUCUCCGUGUGAUUAUGUGACCAACCAGGCAUUUGAACAACAAGACUGAUUUGACCGAUUUUCCCUGACACAGGUAAUCCUUACUUUGGGGAUCUCCACGCAGCAGCCGGCAGCUCUGGUUCUUUCUGGAAACUUGGUAGAUUCCCCAGACCUGCCUCAGGACUCCUGCAUCAGUGCUGUCAGUGUACAGUCCCCUCUACCCUCCAGAGCACUAUAAAUUCUGUCCAGGACUUGUACACACCCCUGUGUUCCCCAAAGGUGACAAACAGCCUCACUUAGAGUGACAAGUGGCAGCAUGAACGACAUCGCCCGAUUGCUGCUUGACAAAGUUCCAGCGUUUCCACGUGGAGACCACACUUCUCCAGCACCUUUUUAUUAAUGACUCUCACUAUGUCAUUGUCCUUUGGGAAAUUUUAUGAGGGCGUGGAAGGAAGAAAACAUACAAAAGGCAGCCUCUUUAAAUAAAAUAAUUCUUUGGGGAAAAACAAUCCCCACCACCGUGGAACCAGGAAUCCCACAGUGCCCACGUAAUUACACCAAGAACUAGAAAGUUAGAGAUUUACUAGACACACCUGACCCCAAAGAUGAAAUGCCUACAAUUCAGACCCAGAGCCUGAGGCCAUUAAGAGCAAGAGUUCAGUUAGUAAGUAUAGAGAAAUCAGAAUGGUACAGUACAAUGGAAAGAGAGUAAGUUAUCAAGACCUUCCCUUUGGGGGGUGUAGGAGGAGAACAGGGCCAUGAAUAAGACUAAGACACAGCCGGGCGUUGGUGGCGCACGCCUUUAAUCCCAGCACUCGGGAGGCAGAGGCAGGCGGAUCUCUGUGAGUUCGAGGCCAGCCUGGUCUACAGAGCGAGUUCCAGGACAGCCUCCAAAACAACACAGAGAAACCCUGUCUCGAAACCCCCCCCCCAAAAAAAAGACUAAGACACAAAGGGACGCAAUUAGGGAGCAUCAGUGCUUAUCCCCUUGAGGAAUGAAAAUUGCUCUUAAGUUGUUGUAGUCAAGUGUCUGGUCCCUGGACGAAGUCCUUUGCCAAGGUCAGGCAUGUGGGUGCUUGAGAAAAGCCCGUGCUUGCUAGAGGAACUUGUGGCCCUCAUUAACAUGACUUGUGCCCUCUGUCAAGGUCAAUGCCAGAUUCCUCAGCCCCCCCAAUCUCAAAGCCACACUCACAUUUAAUCCUAUGUGCAACUCUAGAGUAUAAAAGGUGUACUGUUUUUCUAAUAAAUGCUGCUGGAAGCCA
Molecule: RNA transcript, 2271 nt
Organism: Mesocricetus auratus (golden hamster)
Lineage: Eukaryota; Metazoa; Chordata; Mammalia; Rodentia; Cricetidae
Gene: Upf3a
Gene name: UPF3A regulator of nonsense mediated mRNA decay
Exons: 10
Source: RefSeq, a predicted model, not a curated record